Molecule: ribosomal RNA, 277 nt
Filed under: uncultured bacterium
Lineage: Bacteria
Description: partial 16S ribosomal RNA
Rfam family: Bacterial small subunit ribosomal RNA
Source: RNAcentral
GACGAACGCUGGCGGCGUGCCUAACACAUGCAAGUGGAGCGACGAACCGGGCUUUUAGCCCGGGGCAAAGCCGCGAACGGGUGAGUAACACGUGGGUAACCUGCCCUGAUGACCGGGACAACCCGAGGAAACUCGGGCUAAUACCGGAUGUGCCCUCCGACUGCAAGGUCGACGGGGAAAGGAAGCUUCGGCCUCCGCAUCGGGAUGGGCCCGCGGCCCAUUAGCUUGUUGGUGAGGUAACGGCUCACCAAGGCGACGAUGGGUAGCUGGUCUGAGA